AAAUUGAAGAGUUUGAUCAUGGCUCAGAUUGAACGCUGGCGGCAGGCCUAACACAUGCAAGUCGAGCGGUAGCACAGAGAGCUUGCUCUCGGGUGACGAGCGGCGGAC
Molecule: ribosomal RNA, 108 nt
Filed under: Klebsiella pneumoniae
Lineage: Bacteria; Pseudomonadati; Pseudomonadota; Gammaproteobacteria; Enterobacterales; Enterobacteriaceae
Also listed under: 1 other name
Description: partial 16S ribosomal RNA
Rfam family: Bacterial small subunit ribosomal RNA
Source: RNAcentral